This is a long non-coding RNA of Triticum dicoccoides, 730 nucleotides long. RefSeq lists it as uncharacterized. The record is from RefSeq and is a predicted model, not a curated record. The transcript has 3 exons. Lineage: Eukaryota; Viridiplantae; Streptophyta; Magnoliopsida; Poales; Poaceae.
UGUGCUUUUCACAUGUUCGUUGAGUUGCUUAAUGACAUAAAAAAAUGAAAUCUGGAGUUAUGCAAUUGCAGCAACAAGGACGGAUGGCCAUCUUCACAGGUUAUGCCCCUUACUGUAGUUUGCAUUCAGUCAUGUGCAGUAAUAAUGGCAUAUUUGUUAGCCUGCUAGCUGUUUCCAGAUUUUUUUAGACAUGAUUGACUGCUUCUACACAAAAGGAGUUUGUCGAAAAUAAGAGCAAUCCCACUGUUGCUACAGAGCCUGAAGAUUCUUUGCCUUUCUUUGAACUGUUUCAGUUUUUUCUUUCAUAUGGCUACAAUUAUUUGAUUGGUCCAUGUAGAUUUAGGCAACAUGAGAUGAGCCGAUGAUAUAUAUUGUAAUGUAUGAUGUCUAUUGCUACAAGUGUUGAUGUCUUGGUGAUGGCAGGUUUUGCAAGUAAUUGAAAUGCUUUUUGAGUAGACGAUAAUUAGAUAAAGUUCUACCUGAUCUUGAGGUAAUGAUUAUUGAUAGCUAAUGACAUGAGGGAGAGGGGGACAAGCCCCUUUAGCUACUGCAAUAUGGUUGUGCAUACAAAUGUGCUACUCAUAUUCCACUGUUAGACGAGCUAGCCGCGAGAAGCAGGUUGUAAGGGGAGCCAGAGAGGUGAGGGAGGUGACCAAAGCGGCAGCGGCCUUGGGGUGCCGAAGAAGAGUGCGCGGGAGGAUGGAAAGGGGCUCGUAUACGACGGCUGGAA